CGGCGAGUAGCGCAGUUUGGUAGCGCAACUGGUUUGGGACCAGUAGGUCGGAGGUUCAAAUCCUCUCUCGCCGAAAA
Molecule: transfer RNA, 77 nt
Filed under: Candidatus Ishikawaella capsulata Mpkobe
Lineage: Bacteria; Pseudomonadati; Pseudomonadota; Gammaproteobacteria; Enterobacterales; Enterobacteriaceae
Description: tRNA-Pro
Rfam family: tRNA
About the family: Transfer RNA (tRNA) molecules are approximately 80 nucleotides in length. Their secondary structure includes four short double-helical elements and three loops (D, anti-codon, and T loops).
Source: RNAcentral